AGUGAACGCUGGCGGUAGGCCUAACACAUGCAAGUCGAACGGCAGCACAGUAAGAGCUUGCUCUUACGGGUGGCGAGUGGCGGACGGGUGAGGAAUAAAUCGGAAUCUACUUUUUCGUGGGGGGUAACGUAGGGAAACUUACGCUAAUACCGCAUCCGACAUACGGGUGAAAGCAGGGGAUCUUCGGACCUUGCGCGAUUGAAUGAGCCGCUGUCGGAUUAGCUAGUUGGCGGGGUAAAGGCCCACCAAGGCGACGAUCCGUAGCUGGUCUGAGAGGAUGAUCAGCCACACUGGAACGGAGACACGGUCCAGACUACUACGGGAGGCAGCAGUGGGGAAUAGUGGACAAUGGGCGCAAGCCUGAUCCAGCCAUACCGCGUGGGUGAAGAAGGCCUUCGGGUUGUAAAGCCCUUUUGUUGGGAAAGAAAAGCAGCAGGUUAAUACCCCGCUGUUCUGACGGUACCCAAAGAAUAAGCACCGGCUAACUUCGUG
This 492-nucleotide ribosomal RNA is filed under the name uncultured bacterium. Its description in RNAcentral is "partial 16S ribosomal RNA". It matches the Rfam family "Bacterial small subunit ribosomal RNA", at positions 29 to 507 of the family's 1533-position model. The record is from RNAcentral.